Molecule: transfer RNA, 71 nt
Filed under: Alytes cisternasii (Iberian midwife toad)
Lineage: Eukaryota; Metazoa; Chordata; Amphibia; Anura; Alytidae
Description: tRNA-Ile
Rfam family: tRNA
About the family: Transfer RNA (tRNA) molecules are approximately 80 nucleotides in length. Their secondary structure includes four short double-helical elements and three loops (D, anti-codon, and T loops). Further hydrogen bonds mediate the characteristic L-shaped molecular structure. tRNAs have two regions of fundamental functional importance: the anti-codon, which is responsible for specific mRNA codon recognition, and the 3' end, to which the tRNAs corresponding amino acid is attached (by aminoacyl-tRNA synthetases). tRNAs cope with the degeneracy of the genetic code in two manners: having more than one tRNA (with a specific anti-codon) for a particular amino acid; and 'wobble' base-pairing, i.e. permitting non-standard base-pairing at the 3rd anti-codon position.
Source: RNAcentral
GGAAAUGUGCCCGAAAGUUAAGGGCUACUUUGAUAGAGUAGACAAUAGAGGUUCAAACCCCCUCAUUUCCU